RNAcentral lists this ribosomal RNA (360 nucleotides) under Triticum aestivum (bread wheat). RNAcentral describes it as "partial small subunit ribosomal RNA". The record is from RNAcentral. Lineage: Eukaryota; Viridiplantae; Streptophyta; Magnoliopsida; Poales; Poaceae.
AUGACAAGGCCUGUGCAAGCGCUAAGAGGAGCUGCGCCACAACUUUUGAUGCAUACGGCACUAGCAAGAGGUCCUGCGCGACCUCCUAUGGGUCCUAGACCAGCAAUUUGGCCUGCACCACAAACUAUGGGGGCUAUACAACCACCGCGGGGGCCUGCCGUGGCAAACACAACCUAUGUGGCUAUUCCUGGACUGGCACCAUUGCCUGCAUCAUCAGUAACAGUGGAUGGCAGGUAUGGACAGCACCCAGGUUCUUCAACUACACAAGAAGAAAAUGCCAAUGCAAUUCCAUCUCCUAUUGUGCAAACAAGCUCCUGGUGGACAUGCGCACCAGCCGCUCAGUAUGGCAUCUCUACAUGA